RNAcentral lists this long non-coding RNA (320 nucleotides) under Elaeis guineensis (African oil palm). RNAcentral describes it as "long non-coding RNA (EGUI_LNC061221)". Lineage: Eukaryota; Viridiplantae; Streptophyta; Magnoliopsida; Arecales; Arecaceae. The record is from RNAcentral.
GAGUGGAAGAUGUUGGGGGAUGAAAUGCAAUGGGCUGGAUAAAAGCAGGCUCACUAGAUGCGGAGGGCCUGGAUUGGAGCUGAGUCCUAAUGGCAUCCAGUUGGGACAAGACCCCCCUCAAAGAAACAUGGAGCCCCUCAAGAUCAGAAGAGACAAAGUCCCUCGAGUCUCUGAUAUCUACUCGGAUCAGCUCAAGUGUAGAAUGAAGCAGGCUGUGAAGUCUCUUUAUCUCUCGAGCCAAAUCAGCCAACUGAGGUGAAGAGGUGCUUGAAGUGCUCGUUCCUGUCGAUAGAGAAUCCAAUAUUAAUCUGAUCUCCCUC